UCCCUGGUGGUCCAGUGGUUAGCACUCUGCACUCUCAGAGCUGGGGGCCUGGGUUCAAUCCCUAGUCGGGGAA
This is a transfer RNA of Ovis aries (sheep), 73 nucleotides long. It matches the Rfam family "tRNA". From Rfam's summary of the family: Transfer RNA (tRNA) molecules are approximately 80 nucleotides in length. Their secondary structure includes four short double-helical elements and three loops (D, anti-codon, and T loops). The record is from Rfam. Lineage: Eukaryota; Metazoa; Chordata; Mammalia; Artiodactyla; Bovidae.